Long non-coding RNA from Numida meleagris (helmeted guineafowl), 1738 nucleotides. The record is from Ensembl. NCBI's taxonomy places the organism in Eukaryota, Metazoa, Chordata, Aves, Galliformes, Numididae.
UGACCCCCACCGCUACCCGGCCCGGAUCCCCGCACCCACCGCAGCCCGGCACAGCUCCCACGUGUCCGGCCCGGAAGCCGCCGUAUUCACAUGCCCGGGCAAGUUCUGACGUAGCCACGCCCACUCUGCUUUCCCAUUGGCUGCGCAGGAGCACUUAUUUGCAUACGAGGGGCGGGGUUGGUGCGUCACCGCGGAGGGGCGGGACUACUGCCUGCCCGGUGUUAGGACGCCGCGGGUAUAGGAGGCGGAUGGUGGAGGUGCUUUGGUUGUAGGGUGCCCCAGCUAUGGUGUAUUCCAGCUAUAUAAUGCUCUAGCUUAAACAGAAGUUCUUGAUUCUGAGGGUAAUGCAGGCACUGGAACAGGUUUCCCAUAGGAAUUGUGGGUGCCCCGUUCCUGGAGGUAUGCAAGGCCAUGCUGGGUGGGGCCCUGGCAGCCGGGGCUGGGGGGUGCCAAGCAGUGCAUGGCAGGGAGUUAGAACUUGACUUUAAGGUCUCUUCCAACCCAACCAUUCUGUGCUUCUGUUUGGCUAUGGGUACCUGGCCAUAGGGCUGUAGCGCAGGGAGCUGCCGCUGGGGACGGUGUCACAGCUGAGGGGCAGUGCCAUGGGGUGCUCGUCCUUGGGGGCAGUUCCCAGCAGUGGGGCAGCUCCAGCCGGGACACAGCAGCAGCAGUGGCGUUUCAGACCGACCUCUCGUUGCUUUGCUCCGGGUUCUCACCAAAGCAACGUCCGAGGUGAUCAGAAGUGGAGAAGGAUCCAGGAGCAACACAACCACCGGCUCGUCCACGCCGUGGAGCCGGGAGACUCCUGCAGCGCCGGAGAGACCGUGCGCCCUAAGGCAGACUGUGACUUGUUGUGGUGGGAUGAGCCAUACAACAACAAAAUCACUAGUCUUCCAGAGGGCACCGCGGCCGUCCUUGUCCCGUGGCCACCACGCUGAUGUCACCCAGCAUUAUGGGGAUGUAGGGAUGCAGGAUGGGUGUCCUCACCCUCUGCCCUGCCUGGUCAGAAAGCCUCUUCCUCACCUCUCAGAGCACCCUGACCCGGUUUUGCUGCAUCCUCCAAAGCGACGGUGCCUGAGGUUCCUCUACAAGAGUUUGGCUGUACGCGGGCUGGAUGUUGUCAACCGGCGUUGUUUUCAGUGCAAAAAAUUUCAGAAGGAUCCAGGCAACGGGAUUCCUCAGAUAAAAAAAGCAUUCCUUCUGUUUGCACGUGCACUGUGCUGCUCAGGGUGCGGCUGCGUCUCUGGAUACCGGGACUCCGGUGCACCCGUGUGCUUGCUGGGAAUGCCGUUUGCUGGGAAUGCCGUUUCUUAGGAAUCUCAUCCUGGCUCAUGUUUCGUAUCCCCAGUGUGCUUGGAGCACCAUCCUGGUGGAGGACUUUGGUGCGCUUGACUGCAGAGCCCCGGCGCUGGGGGAUCCUGGAGGUGGAUCACCUUCUUCCAAACCCCCUUGGUGGCAAACCUCAUCACUUUACUCAGCUGAUAGCCUUUUCGGACCUGGCUAAAGGCUUCUCCAUCCUCCGAUAUGAAGGGUGUCCUGUAGGGUACGGAGGCACCGAGGCUCAGCACCACGGUCAGCUCUUGGCUGGUCCAGGCCCGUUGGGGAAGGUGAAUCUGGGGAGCGAUGCUAGCACGCAGCAGCCAUCCUUUUCCUUCUGCUUCUCCCCCAGCCAACACAAAGACCUUGGCACCAGCAGCCCUGCGAAUUCCUGCUGUUCAAAAGGUUGUAUAAUGGGCAA